UUUCGAUUCAUGUAAUUAAUUUACGCCCUGAAAAAAGGUUAUUGACUGUAGUUGGUGCAAUCGUUUAUUGGGUUCCUAGCUAUAUGUAUUUAUAGAAUCCGGCUAUAGUACUUCCAGAAGCGUAAAAGAGUUAGUGCGUUCAAUUUUUUAACCCUUGUGUUAACCCUUUUGAUCAUUUCUAACAUUCAAUUAAUAUUAUUUUUUUAUGGGGACCAGUAAAUUCUAGAAAGACCAUUCAAUCUUAGGAGGAGAUUAAUCUUAGAAGGAGAUUACUAUCAUCCCAACCGUACAGUUUUUAAUUCAAAGACUAAAAAGUCGAAAGUGUCAAUUCCUUUAUGUUUUCGAAAUUAUAGUAACUCUACAUUUAAUGAUCGAUAUGGUGCUUUCUGAAUUUAACGGUUUAAAACAAUCCAAAUUUGAUAAAAUUUUUAUAUAUAUUUUUUUCACUAUUUAGAGUAAGAUCAGUAGUUUUAAUCUUAAGUUCAAAUUUUUUAUCAUAAUUUUUUAUAAAAUUUUUAUUUUCAACCGUUCAUUUUUAAACUACUCGUUUGAUGUGUAAAUUAUGUCGAAUAAUUAUGAAAUUCAAUUUUCAAAUACUUUCAAUAGCAUAGAUCAAAUCUAACUGAGCCGAUCAUCGAUUUGAAAGCCAACUUGGUAGUAU
RNAcentral lists this long non-coding RNA (661 nucleotides) under Ananas comosus (pineapple). RNAcentral describes it as "long non-coding RNA (ACOM_LNC004634)". Lineage: Eukaryota; Viridiplantae; Streptophyta; Magnoliopsida; Poales; Bromeliaceae. The record is from RNAcentral.